GCCUCGGUGGAGCAAUUGGCAGAUCAUCCCUACCUAAUGAAAGCUCGAUGCAGUAUGUACGUGGGAAGACGGAGGUUCGAAUCCUCCCUGAGGCA
Molecule: non-coding RNA, 95 nt
Organism: Mycena rebaudengoi
Lineage: Eukaryota; Fungi; Basidiomycota; Agaricomycetes; Agaricales; Mycenaceae
Source: the annotation of a GenBank genome assembly